UGGGGAAUAUUGCACAAUGGAGGGAACUCUUAUGCAGCGACGCCGCGUGAGUGAAGAAGUAUUUCGGUAUGUAAAGCUCUAUCAGUAGGGAAGAUAAUGACGGUACCUACAUAAGAAGCCCCGGCUAAAUACGUGCCAGCAGCCGCGGUAAUACGUAUGGGGCAAGCGUUGUCCGGUAUUAUUGGGCGUAAAGCGCGCGCAGGUGGUUUAGAAAGUCUGAUGUGAAAGCCCACGGCUCAACCGUGGAGGGUCAUUGGAAACUAAUAAACUUGAGUGCAGGAGAGAAAAGUGGAAUUCCUAGUGUAGCGGUGAAAUGCGUAGAGAUUAGGAGGAACACCGGUGGCGAAAGCGGCUUUUUGGCCUGCAACUGACACUGAGGCGCGAAAGCGUGGGGAGCAAACAGG
Molecule: ribosomal RNA, 404 nt
Filed under: Verrucomicrobiota bacterium
Lineage: Bacteria; Pseudomonadati; Verrucomicrobiota
Description: Verrucomicrobia bacterium partial 16S ribosomal RNA
Rfam family: Bacterial small subunit ribosomal RNA
Source: RNAcentral